CUGUUCUUUCUUUCUCCAUAUUUUCUGUUUCAUUACCUGCCUGAGCUACUAUCUUGUCAUCCUUCUUAGUCUUGCUGGCCCUAUCACCCGUCCCCACACCUGUGAGCUUUCUUUUAAGUACUCUUUUAAUUAUUUUCUUCUUUAUGGCAGUUUUAACACUAGUACCUUGCAAAACUGCAUCACUGCCGCUUUGUGAAUUAUCCUUUGGUUUGUCUUCAGUGUUGUCCACUUCCUUCUCAGC
This 241-nucleotide unclassified non-coding RNA is filed under the name Hevea brasiliensis (rubber tree). Lineage: Eukaryota; Viridiplantae; Streptophyta; Magnoliopsida; Malpighiales; Euphorbiaceae. The record is from RNAcentral.